GAGUUUGAUCAUGGCUCAGGACGAACGCUGGCGGCGUGCUUAACACAUGCAAGUCGAGCGGGGUUUAUCGGAUUAGCUUGCUAAACUGAUAAACCUAGCGGCGGACGGGUGAGUAACGCGUGAGCAAUCUGCCUCAUACAGGGGGAUAACAGGUGGAAACACCUGCUAAUACCGCAUAAGACUCCACUACCGCAUGGUAGAGAAGUCAAAGGGAUUACCGGUAUGAGAUGAGCUCGCGUCCCAUUAGCUAGUUGGUAGGGUAAAGGCCUACCAAGGCGACGAUGGGUAGCCGACCUGAGAGGGUGAUCGGCCACACUGGGACUGAGACACGGCCCAGACUCCUACGGGAGGCAGCAGUGGGGAAUAUUGCACAAUGGAGGGAACUCUGAUGCAGCAACGCCGCGUGAGUGAAGAAGGUUUUCGGAUCGUAAAACUCUGUCAUUGGGGAAGAAUAAAUGACGGUACCCAAUGAGGAAGCCCCGGCUAACUACGUGCCAGCAGCCGCGGUAAUACGUAGGGGGCGAGCGUUGUCCGGAAUUACUGGGCGUAAAGGGUACGUAGGCGGCUAUAUAAGUCAGGUGUGAAAUACCAGUGCUUAACACUGGAAUUGCAUUUGAAACUGUGUAGCUUGAGUGCAGGAGAGGAAAGUGGAAUUCCUAGUGUAGCGGUGAAAUGCGUAGAGAUUAGGAGGAACACCAGUGGCGAAGGCGACUUUCUGGACUGUAACUGACGCUGAGGUACGAAAGCGUGGG
RNAcentral lists this ribosomal RNA (752 nucleotides) under uncultured bacterium. RNAcentral describes it as "bacterial SSU rRNA". It matches the Rfam family "Bacterial small subunit ribosomal RNA", at positions 9 to 765 of the family's 1533-position model. The record is from RNAcentral.